This 520-nucleotide ribosomal RNA is filed under the name uncultured Gammaproteobacteria bacterium. RNAcentral's name for it is "bacterial SSU rRNA". It matches the Rfam family "Bacterial small subunit ribosomal RNA", at positions 8 to 523 of the family's 1533-position model. The record is from RNAcentral. Lineage: Bacteria; Pseudomonadati; Pseudomonadota; Gammaproteobacteria.
AGAGUUUGAUUAUGGCUCAGAUUGAACGCUGGCGGCAGGCCUAACACAUGCAAGUCGAGCGGAUGACGGGAGCUUGCUCCCGAAUUCAGCGGCGGACGGGUGAGUAAUGCCUAGGAAUCUGCCUGGUAGUGGGGGACAACGUCUCGAAAGGGACGCUAAUACCGCAUACGUCCUACGGGAGAAAGCAGGGGACCUUCGGGCCUUGCGCUAUCAGAUGAGCCUAGGUCGGAUUAGCUAGUUGGUGAGGUAAUGGCUCACCAAGGCGACGAUCCGUAACUGGUCUGAGAGGAUGAUCAGUCACACUGGAACUGAGACACGGUCCAGACUCCUACGGGAGGCAGCAGUGGGGAAUAUUGGACAAUGGGCGAAAGCCUGAUCCAGCCAUGCCGCGUGUGUGAAGAAGGUCUUCGGAUUGUAAAGCACUUUAAGUUGGGAGGAAGGGCAUUAACCUAAUACGUUAGUGUUUUGACGUUACCGACAGAAUAAGCACCGGCUAACUCUGUGCCAGCCGCCGCGGUAA